GCUGUCGCAAAAUCGGCAGCCGGGCGUAGGAACCCGUGUUUAAUCUUGGCGACAAAUGAACACGCGCCACGCGUGUUUUUU
This 81-nucleotide small RNA is filed under the name Serratia nematodiphila. RNAcentral describes it as "isrK Hfq binding RNA". It matches the Rfam family "isrK Hfq binding RNA". The record is from RNAcentral. Lineage: Bacteria; Pseudomonadati; Pseudomonadota; Gammaproteobacteria; Enterobacterales; Yersiniaceae.